RNAcentral lists this ribosomal RNA (270 nucleotides) under uncultured bacterium. RNAcentral describes it as "partial 16S ribosomal RNA". It matches the Rfam family "Bacterial small subunit ribosomal RNA", at positions 28 to 303 of the family's 1533-position model. The record is from RNAcentral.
GACGAACGCUGGCGGCGUGCUUAACACAUGCAAGUCGAACGGUGAUCCACUUCGGUGGUGAUCAGUGGCGAACGGGUGAGUAACACGUGGGCAACCUGCCCCUAGCUCUGGGAUAACCCCGGGAAACCGGGGCUAAUACCGGAUACGACCUCGAGCGGCAUCACUCGAGGUGGAAAGGAUUCUGGCUAGGGAUGGGCCCGCGGCCUAUCAGCUUGUUGGUGGGGUAACGGCCCACCAAGGCGACGACGGGUAGCCGGCCUGAGAGGGCGA